This 245-nucleotide ribosomal RNA is filed under the name uncultured bacterium. RNAcentral describes it as "partial 16S ribosomal RNA". It matches the Rfam family "Bacterial small subunit ribosomal RNA", at positions 524 to 768 of the family's 1533-position model. The record is from RNAcentral.
UACGAACCGUCCUAACGUUAUUCGGAAUCACUGGGCUUAAAGGGUGCGUAGGCGGCUCAGUAAGUUGGGUGUGAAAUCCCUCGGCUCAACCGAGGAAUGGCGCUCAAGACUGCUGGGCUGGAGGGAGACAGAGGUGAGCGGAACUUAGGGUGGAGCGGUGAAAUGCGUUGAUAUCCUAAGGAACACCGGUGGCGAAAGCGGCUCACUGGGUCUUUUCUGACGCUGAGGCACGAAAGCUAGGGGAG